RNAcentral lists this ribosomal RNA (864 nucleotides) under uncultured Actinomycetes bacterium. RNAcentral describes it as "bacterial SSU rRNA". It matches the Rfam family "Bacterial small subunit ribosomal RNA", at positions 1 to 894 of the family's 1533-position model. Lineage: Bacteria; Bacillati; Actinomycetota; Actinomycetes. The record is from RNAcentral.
CCGCGGGAUUAGAGUUUGAUCCUGGCUCGAAUCAACGCUGGCGGCGUGCCUAACACAUGCAAGUCGAACGAGAAAGUGGAGCAAUCCAUGAGUAAAGUGGCGACCGGGUGAGUAACACGUGACUAACCUACCUUCGAGUGGGGGAUAACCUCGGGAAACCGAGGCUAAUACCGCAUAACAUCGUGAGAUCAAAGCAGUAAUGCGCUGGAAGAGGGGGUCGCGGCUGAUUAGCUAGUUGGCGGGGUAAUGGCCCACCAAGGCGAAGAUCGGUAGCCGGCCUGAGAGGGCGCACGGCCACACUGGAACUGAAACACGGUCCAGACUCCUACGGGAGGCAGCAGUGGGGAAUUUUGCGCAAUGGGGGAAACCCUGACGCAGCAACGCCGCGUGGAGGAUGAAGUCCCUUGGGACGUAAACUCCUUUCGACCAAGACGAUAAUGACGGUACUGGUGGAAGAAGCACCGGCUAACUCUGUGCCAGCAGCCGCGGUAAUACAGAGGGUGCGAGCGUUGUUCGGAAUUAUUGGGCGUAAAGGGCGCGUAGGCGGCGCGGUAAGUCACCUGUGAAAUCUCCGGGCUUAACUCGGAGCCUGCAGGCGAAACUGCCGUGCUGGAGUAUGGGAGAGGUGCGUGGAAUUCCCGGUGUAGCGGUGAAAUGCGUAGAUAUCGGGAGGAACACCUGUGGCGAAAGCGGCGCACUGGACCAUAACUGACGCUGAGGCGCGAAAGCUAGGGGAGCAAACAGGAUUAGAUACCCUGGUAGUCCUAGCCCUAAACGAUGAUUGCUUGGUGUAGCCGGUACCCAAUCCGGCUGUGCCGCAGCUAACGCGAUAAGCAAUCCGCCUGGGGAGUACGGUCGCAAGGC